AUGAAGUGGCAGCCGUUCAUGUCCACGUUCGUGCUGAACAAGAUGUGUGAGCUCAUCUCUAGUGGAGUUAGGACUGACAAGGGCUUCAAGGAGGUGCACUUGAACACCGUUGCAGAGCAGGUGUUCGAUUUCUGUGGGCAAGAGGUGUCUCAGAUGCAACACAUCUUCUCCUUCGGGCUGGCAACUGGGAAGCAUGCCAUGGGAUCGGGUGAGCCUCUUGGUUCUCCCAUGCCAGACUUCCCUGGGACACUGGACGUCGAGGUCCUUGAUGGCCCUGACAAGCCCGUUGCGAAGCCCUUCGACAAGCCAUUUGACCCCAUCCAUGAUAGGAAGAGGAAGAGAAGAGGCCUGAUGGAGGAGGAGAUCAAUGUAUUUUGCAGCAUGACUGAGGCGGUGAAGGAGGUGGCAACAGCCAUCAGGGAGUGCAAGCCCCUCGACGUCCACCCUGACCUAUAUGGCGCUGUCAUGACCCAGGGUGGAUUUAGCGACGAGGCUCUCAUGGCAGCUCUCAGCCACCUGCUUGACAACAAGGCCCAGGGUGUUGGGUUCGUUGCCAUGGCCGACGCUCACAGGGUCACUACAAAAAAAAUACACUUCCUAAUCUAUGAGCCACGAGGACUCAGAAAUCCCAUUACCAUGGGUAUCAAGACUAGCAAAGCUUAA
This 663-nucleotide ribosomal RNA is filed under the name Triticum aestivum (bread wheat). Its description in RNAcentral is "partial small subunit ribosomal RNA". The record is from RNAcentral. Lineage: Eukaryota; Viridiplantae; Streptophyta; Magnoliopsida; Poales; Poaceae.